AGUUCUCCAGGCGCAGUGAGCGCAGGCGUGGGCAGCAGCGCAGCAGGCGCGCCAGGCAGUCGUCGGUAACGUGGCCGCAGCCCGACAGCGUGACGGACGCCAGGUUGGGGCACCUGUGAGGAGAGUGCGGUGAUCCGGGGCUCACUGGCUUGUUAAAGCCACCCAACCGCCCCGGGGGAGUGAGUGGACUCAUUUACCGAGGAGGACUCGGGCCCUGCGAGGUGAAGACACUUGGCCGCGAUGACACUGCAGGGUUCCAAGUCGGCUUUCUGGCCUGCCCAUUUUCCCUGCUCUUUCUGCCCCUGCACCCCACCGUACCUUCAUCUGCAUGGGUUCUUGGCUCGUAGCCUUGGGAGCCCCUAGUGGAAAGCCCCGACCCCGGCCCAGCAGAGUCCUGGGGCGGCUGUGGACAGAGGGAAUGCCGGUUCCAGGAGCCACAACCCUUGACUCUUUGUUUCGCUCUGGACGUGCUGCCUUGCAGGGGAGCGGUGCGUGGCGAUUGCUCCAGUCUAGCUUCAAGCUGAGGCCCCUGAAUGUCACUUCAUCCUGGCCCAGGUACAGCAGCUCCAAAUCGUGGGGAUUCUGUAAGAGCUUGCUACCUGCUGACUGAGGAGGCCCACGAGUCGAGGAGAACUAUCAAGAGUGGCACAAAACUGCAGGUCACUGGGCUGGCCACCAGGUAUUCCCACCCACCAGAAGCUGGCUGUUGUACUCACCCGGAACCAUGGUGCACCACCACAGCGGCGAGGUCAUACAGGCAGCUCUCCGGGCCACUGUUCUCAGGCUACAGAACAAGGAAGAAGGCACAGUGGUCAAUGACAUCGGUAUCUUGAUGACCUCUACCCUCUCCAUGUGAUGACAAUCUUACCGAAGAGCCAUUUUUUCACCAUGCUAAAAAGGUAACCACCUUACCUCUAGUAAGUAGCAUUUCAUGUCUAGGCCUCUCAGUGGAAAUUCUACAUAUGUAUCAACUUUAUUUCUUAAAUAUGCUGUCCAGUGAAAUCUUUUCAAAUGUAAGCAUAGCACCUGGAGGACAGAGAUGAGGUCAAAGAUUGUGAACACCUAACUUACCUUUCAGUCAAAGUUUGAUACUACUAUCAGUUCAGUAAAUAACAUUUUAGCUGCCCUAUCAAUCAUUCUUCCUCGCAUACCUUAUGCAUUCAUUCUGUAAAGGGUUCAGCUUUUACUGAAAACCCUAGAGACAAAUACAGAACAGUUCACAUAGUGUAAAGUUAUAGACAUGGUCUUAGCAGUCAAGCAUUUUCCCCUUGAAACUGCUUCGUAACUCAAAAUUCAACACUCACCUUGGGUAGUUUUUGAAUCCAAAACUUUUUUGUGGACUUUUGUUUCUUUUUGCAUUUAUGGCACAUAUAUAACUCUGUCUCAUCAAGUUCUUCUAAGUCGGUAAAACUGCGAAGACAAUCUAAACAAAUAGAUUUUGGCAGCAUUAAAACAAGAUGCCUUUUAUAGAGGCAAUGUACUGUAGAAAAAAGACCCAGGUUUAAAAUCUCAGCUUUAUUAGCUAUACGACCUUAGAAAAGUUAACCUUUCUCAGUUGCGAACUGGAGACAAAAAAUAAUACCUACUUUGAAGAACUAUUGUAAGGAAGAGAAAUAACAUGUGUAGAGCACCUGGCAUCAUGCCUGACAUCUGGUGAUGAUCAAUUGUGUUGGUUUUACUAUUAAUGAAAAUUCAUCUGGAUAAUUCUGAUAAAAUGGUUUCCUGAUAAAUUUAAAGUUUCAAUUGUAGUUUUCUGUCAGUAUGUUAUACAGGACAAAGCUCCAAACUUAU
This 1791-nucleotide non-coding RNA is filed under the name Pongo abelii (Sumatran orangutan). Lineage: Eukaryota; Metazoa; Chordata; Mammalia; Primates; Hominidae. The record is from RNAcentral.